GCAGCAGCCGCGGUAAUACGUAGGUGGCAAGCGUUGUCCGGAAUUAUUGGGCGUAAAGGGCUCGCAGGCGGUUUCUUAAGUCUGAUGUGAAAGCCCCCGGCUCAACCGGGGAGGGUCAUUGGAAACUGGGAAACUUGAGUGCAGAAGAGGAGAGUGGAAUUCCACGCGUAGCGGUGAAAUGCGUAGAGAUGUGGAGGAACACCAGUGGCGAAGGCGACUCUCUGGUCUGUAACUGACGCUGAGGAGCGAAAGCGUGGGGAGCGAACAGGAUUAGAUACCCCUGUAGUCCCUGUCUCUUAUAC
RNAcentral lists this ribosomal RNA (302 nucleotides) under uncultured bacterium. RNAcentral's name for it is "partial 16S ribosomal RNA". It matches the Rfam family "Bacterial small subunit ribosomal RNA", at positions 508 to 807 of the family's 1533-position model. The record is from RNAcentral.